AUUGAACGCUGGCGGAAUGCUUUACACAUGCAAGUCGAACGGCAGCACGGGUGCUUGCACCUGGUGGCGAGUGGCGAACGGGUGAGUAAUGCACCGGAACGUAUCCAAUAAUGGGGGAUAACGCACCGAAAGGUGUGCUAAUACCGCAUACGCCCUGAGGGGGGAAAGCGGGGGAUCGUAAGACCUCGCGUUAAUGGAGCGGCCGAUGCCGGAUUAGCUAGUUGGUGAGGUAAAGGCUCACCAAGGCGACGAUCCGUAGCUGGUCUGAGAGGACGACCAGCCACACUGGAACUGAGACACGGUCCAGACUCCUACGGGAGGCAGCAGUGGGGAAUUUUGGACAAUGGGCGCAAGCCUGAUCCAGCCAUUCCGCGUGAGUGAAGAAGGCC
This 389-nucleotide ribosomal RNA is filed under the name uncultured bacterium. RNAcentral's name for it is "bacterial SSU rRNA". It matches the Rfam family "Bacterial small subunit ribosomal RNA", at positions 29 to 416 of the family's 1533-position model. The record is from RNAcentral.